AAACCACUGCUCAUGUGCAUUACUAUAAAAAGAUGAGAUUUCAUCGUUCCUGCUAUCCCAUCGUGUUUGCAUAGCUUGGUUGGAACACUGAGAUUUGCUGUCACAAUGAAGUUGGUCUUCCUGUUCAUCGUUCUAUGCCUUGCUCUCACUCAAGCUUAUUAUUACAACAAGCAUUACUAUUAUCCCAGCGUGUACAGAAAAUACUACUACCCAAAAAAAUAUUAUAGCCAUUACUACCGCCCUCGACGCCAUUACUACAGUCCC
Saccostrea echinata is the source of this 264-nucleotide long non-coding RNA. RefSeq lists it as uncharacterized. NCBI's taxonomy places the organism in Eukaryota, Metazoa, Mollusca, Bivalvia, Ostreida, Ostreidae. The record is from RefSeq and is a predicted model, not a curated record. The transcript is spliced from 3 exons.